UAGGGAAUCUUCCGCAAUGGACGCAAGUCUGACGGAGCAACGCCGCGUGAGUGAAGAAGGAUUUCGGUUCGUAAAACUCUGUCGUUAGAGAAGAACAGCGCAUAGAGUAACUGUUAUGCGUGUGACGGUAUCUAACCAGAAAGCCACGGCUAACUACGUGCCAGCAGCCGCGGUAAUACGUAGGUGGCAAGCGUUGUCCGGAUUUAUUGGGCGUAAAGCGAGCGCAGGCGGUUAGAUAAGUCUGAAGUUAAAGGCAGUGGCUCAACCAUUGUAGGCUUUGGAAACUGUUUAACUUGAGUGCAGAAGGGGGGAGUGGAAUUCCAUGUGUAGCGGUGAAAUGCGUAGAUAUAUGGAGGAACACCGGUGGCGAAAGCGGCUCUCUGGUCUGUAACUGACGCUGAGGCUCGAAAGCGUGGGGAGCGAACAGG
This 428-nucleotide ribosomal RNA is filed under the name Bacteroidota bacterium. RNAcentral's name for it is "Bacteroidetes bacterium partial 16S ribosomal RNA". It matches the Rfam family "Bacterial small subunit ribosomal RNA", at positions 355 to 776 of the family's 1533-position model. The record is from RNAcentral. Lineage: Bacteria; Pseudomonadati; Bacteroidota.